UGGGGAAUCUUAGACAAUGGGCGCAAGCCUGAUCUAGCCAUGCCGCGUGAGUGAUGAAGGCCUUAGGGUCGUAAAGCUCUUUCGCCAGGGAUGAUAAUGACAGUACCUGGUAAAGAAACCCCGGCUAACUCCGUGCCAGCAGCCGCGGUAAUACGGAGGGGGUUAGCGUUGUUCGGAAUUACUGGGCGUAAAGCGCGCGUAGGCGGAUUAGUCAGUUAGAGGUGAAAUCCCAGGGCUCAACCCUGGAACUGCCUUUAAUACUGCUAGUCUUGAGUUCGAGAGAGGUGAGUGGAAUUCCGAGUGUAGAGGUGAAAUUCGUAGAUAUUCGGAGGAACACCAGUGGCGAAGGCGGCUCACUGGCUCGAUACUGACGCUGAGGUGCGAAAGUGUGGGGAGCAAACAGGAUUAGAUACCCUGGUAGUCCACACCGUAAACGAUGAAUGCCAGUCGUCGGGUAGUAUACUAUUCGGUGACACACCUAACGGAUUAAGCAUUCCGCCUGGGGAGUACGGUCGCAAGAUUA
RNAcentral lists this ribosomal RNA (523 nucleotides) under uncultured bacterium. Its description in RNAcentral is "bacterial SSU rRNA". It matches the Rfam family "Bacterial small subunit ribosomal RNA", at positions 355 to 896 of the family's 1533-position model. The record is from RNAcentral.